Non-coding RNA from Triticum urartu, 139 nucleotides. The record is from Rfam. NCBI's taxonomy places the organism in Eukaryota, Viridiplantae, Streptophyta, Magnoliopsida, Poales, Poaceae.
CAAAUACUCCCUCCAUCCAGAAAUACUUGUCAUCAAAAUGGAUAAAAGGAAAUGUAUCUAGAUGUAUUUUAGUUUUAGAUACAUCUCUUUUUAUCCAUUUUGAUGACAAGUAUUUUCAGACGAAGGGAGGGAGUAGAAA